RNAcentral lists this unclassified non-coding RNA (334 nucleotides) under soil metagenome. Its description in RNAcentral is "partial contains 5.8S ribosomal RNA, internal transcribed spacer 2, and large subunit ribosomal RNA". The stretch from base 1 to 120 matches the Rfam family "5.8S ribosomal RNA", at positions 35 to 154 of the family's 154-position model. The record is from RNAcentral.
GAUGAAGAACGCAGCGAAAUGCGAUAAGUAAUGUGAAUUGCAGAAUUCAGUGAAUCAUCGAAUCUUUGAACGCACAUUGCGCCCGCCAGUAUUCUGGCGGGCAUGCCUGUUCGAGCGUCAUUUCAACCAUCAAGCCCUGCUUGCGUUGGGGUCCUGCGGCUGCCCGCAGGCCCUGAAAACCAGUGGCGGGCUCGCUAGUCACACCGAGCGCAGUAAUACAUCUCGCUUUGGGCGUGCGGCGGGUUCUUGCCGUUAAACACCCCCUUUUUACCAAGGUUGACCUCGGAUCAGGUAGGAAUACCCGCUGAACUUAAGCACAUCAAUAAGCGGAGGA